GAUGGUCGGGUGAUUUUUUCUCCUUCGGAUCAGGUCGCUUUUUAUGUUGAAAACCUUCGGACAGGAUUUCGAUUUUCGAUUUCGGAGUUCAUUCGAAACAUUCUUGAUUAUUAUCGACUCUAUUCGGCCCAACUUGCACCGAAUUUCAUUCGACUUCUCAUUACUUUUACUUUAUUGUAUCGUAUGAUCCCGAUCGAACCUAGACC
This 206-nucleotide long non-coding RNA is filed under the name Elaeis guineensis (African oil palm). RNAcentral's name for it is "long non-coding RNA (EGUI_LNC032625)". Lineage: Eukaryota; Viridiplantae; Streptophyta; Magnoliopsida; Arecales; Arecaceae. The record is from RNAcentral.